GAUGAACGCUGGCGGCGUGCUUAACACAUGCAAGUCGAACGGAAAGGCCCUGCUUUUGUGGGGUUCUCGAUUGGCGAACGGGUGAGUAACACGUGAGUAACCUGCCCUUGACUUUCGGAUAACUUCAGGAAACUGGGGCUAAUACCGGAUAGGAGCUCCUGCUGCAUGGUGGGCGUUGGAAAAUUUCGGCGGUUGUGGAUGGACUCGCGGCUUAUCCGCUUGUUGGUGGGGUAGUGGCUUACCAAGGCUUCGACGGGUAGCCGGCCUGAGAGGGUGAACGGCGUCAUUGGGACUGCGAUACGGACCAGAAGCCUAUGUGAGGCAGCGGUGGGGAAUAUGACACAACGGGCGGAAGUCUGAUGCAGAAACGCCGCGUGCGGGAUGACGGCCUUCGGGUGGUAAACCGCUGUCGCCUGUGACGAAGCGUGAGUGACGGUAAUGGGUAAAGAAGCACCGGCUAACUACGUG
RNAcentral lists this ribosomal RNA (468 nucleotides) under uncultured bacterium. Its description in RNAcentral is "partial 16S ribosomal RNA". It matches the Rfam family "Bacterial small subunit ribosomal RNA", at positions 28 to 507 of the family's 1533-position model. The record is from RNAcentral.